Molecule: ribosomal RNA, 460 nt
Filed under: uncultured bacterium
Lineage: Bacteria
Description: partial 16S ribosomal RNA
Rfam family: Bacterial small subunit ribosomal RNA
Source: RNAcentral
CCUACGGGAGACAGCAGUGAGGAAUAUUGGUCAAUGGACGAGAGUCUGAACCAGCCAAGUAGCGUGAAGGAUGACUGCCCUAUGGGUUGUAAACUUCUUUUAUAUGGGAAUAAAACGUUCCACGUGUGGGAUUUUGUAUGUACCAUAUGAAUAAGGAUCGGCUAACUCCGUGCCAGCAGCCGCGGUAAUACGGAGGAUCCGAGCGUUAUCCGGAUUUAUUGGGUUUAAAGGGAGCGUAGGUGGAUUGUUAAGUCAGUUGUGAAAGUUUGCGGCUCAACCGUAAAAUUGCAGUUGAAACUGGCAGUCUUGAGUACAGUAGAGGUGGGCGGAAUUCGUGGUGUAGCGGUGAAAUGCUUAGAUAUCACGAAGAACGCCGAUUGCGAAGGCAGUUCACUGGACUGCAACUGACACUGAGGCUCGAAAGUGUGGGUAUCAAACAGGAUUAGAUACCCUAGUAGUC